UUUUGUCAAACUGUCAGUGAAUUCCUCAUAGCAUCUUCUUUGGGGUUACUCAGGCACCAGAACUCUUCACAAAACAAAAAAAAAUUCUACCAAGGAAUCCCUUUACCUAAUGGCAUCUCACAAGCCUACAGACGCGAGAAAAGGCCUCAUGACACAUCAAGAGAGCACCUA
RNAcentral lists this long non-coding RNA (171 nucleotides) under Ictidomys tridecemlineatus (thirteen-lined ground squirrel). RNAcentral describes it as "Taurine upregulated 1 conserved region 4 (ENSSTOG00000030005.1)". It matches the Rfam family "Taurine upregulated gene 1 conserved region 4". From Rfam's summary of the family: TUG1 (taurine upregulated gene 1) is a long non-coding RNA expressed in retina and brain. It was first identified in a screen for genes upregulated by in developing retinal cells in response to taurine. It is required for the normal development of photoreceptors in the retina. Lineage: Eukaryota; Metazoa; Chordata; Mammalia; Rodentia; Sciuridae. The record is from RNAcentral.